RNAcentral lists this non-coding RNA (21 nucleotides) under Caenorhabditis elegans. Lineage: Eukaryota; Metazoa; Nematoda; Chromadorea; Rhabditida; Rhabditidae. The record is from RNAcentral.
UAGGAAAGCCCCACUAUGCUG